CAGGUUGUUUUAAUUAUCUGAAAGAAGAUCGUGAUACAAAAUGUUUGACUCAAGUAUUUAUCAUGCUUAAAAUGACUAAGAUCAAAAUAUGCUAAAAUGUUGUGUAAUUUCGAGUCCCAGGAGGCUUCAGCUGCUUGACUUCUCAAGAAAACGCCUGUCUUGUGCUCUGUGAGUUUUUCAUUUUCCCACAAAACUGCUGUGACUGGGACUUCUGGGGUGAGGGCAGACAGGCUGGGCUCCUGCUUGCAGAGGCUGGACGUCCAAACCCUUCCCCUAAUGCAGAGAUGACUCAGAACAACUGACAUGAAGGCAGAGCGAGGCCAGGACGCAGUCAGGCCAAACGCCCCCAGUCCACGCCAGGGGAGACUGUGCCCAGGGCUGCGGCACACACGGCCUGAAGCCGGCUGCAGGGAGUGGGCUUGGCCAGCCGCUGGCUACAGCAGGAACUGUGCAGCCUGUGGCCAGGGAGCAGCUGAGGGAGGCAGGAUGGCAGGAAGUGGCUGGGCAGCUCAGGCCACCUGCCACAAGUGGUCGUGGAAACAGAGUCCCUCAAACUGAGCUUGCAAACUGAAGUCCUAAACUAACCUGAGAAAGGCAAGUACAAAUAACAGGAAUCUCAAAAUAAACAAGCUGGAGAUCUUAAAAGAGAUAAAAGAAAGAAGUCCUGACUGUCACACAGUCCCUGGUCUGACUGAGCGGCCAGGCAGGAGGAACACCCAUGCUGAGAGGCCACCCCAUAGGAUCUGGGCUUGUGUUACCCACAAGUUCAAGGAGCAGAGGACGACUGUCCGCUCGGCAAAUGCUCACUGGCACUGCUGUGUCUGCACCAGGCUGGGCAUGGCUGGGGCUCUGGGACUCUGGGACCGCAAGGUCCAGCAUGAUGGGUUCUAAAGCCGGCACCACAGAGCCACCCGGUGAGGUUCCAGCCACCAGCGAGGAGGGCACUCGGUCACCGACACUGGGCUGGGGCCUCGUCUAAUCUUAGGUUGCGAGUCUCUUUGAGAAGGGUACAGAGGUGAACACACUCCAGAGGGGAGGGAGGGAGACCCUGACCGCCAAGGUGACACACACCAGGGAGGGAAGUGGAUGGUGCCUGUCAAGGUGACGCGCACCAGGGCGUGGAGGGGGCUCUGCCGCUGACUGACGGUGAUCUCAGACGUGUGGCCCCGUAGACACCGGCCUCCUGGGUGUUGGGACUGGCGCUAGACCUGGGAAUCACUCAGCACCGGCCCGGCACACAGCAGGUGCUCCAUGAACUCAGCCUCGCUCCCAGGGACACGCCCCCCACACCCACGGUGCUUGCCUGAGCCGGGAGCCCCACGCCCAGGCCCCGCCCGCGCCUCCUACCAGCUCUCGGCUCCACCGUCUUGUUGGCACCCUCCUCCAUGAACACGAACCGCCCUCCACCGAAGUCCUCCAGAGUCUCCAGCCUCAUGCAUUGUUGCCCAGGAUUUCCCGUAAGCCCAAAUGUUGGAGCAGCCGUGUUCCAGCAAAGGCUGCAGGCAGCAGGCCAGCCAGCAGGGUGUGCACGCUGGGCUGGUCCCCCGGUGCCAGCCUCGCUGCCCACACGUGGGAACCAGAGGCAGCGGUGGACGCGCUUUUCUCCUUUCUUCAGAAGUGGAGCAAUCCCAAACUUUUUAAAACUUGUAAUAAAAUGCAGAACCUAAGAUUUACCAGCUUAA
Molecule: long non-coding RNA, 1682 nt
Organism: Gorilla gorilla gorilla (western lowland gorilla)
Lineage: Eukaryota; Metazoa; Chordata; Mammalia; Primates; Hominidae
Exons: 3
Source: RefSeq, a predicted model, not a curated record